RNAcentral lists this ribosomal RNA (253 nucleotides) under uncultured bacterium. Its description in RNAcentral is "partial 16S ribosomal RNA". It matches the Rfam family "Bacterial small subunit ribosomal RNA", at positions 524 to 776 of the family's 1533-position model. The record is from RNAcentral.
UACAGAGAUCUCGAGCGUUAAUCGGAGUCACUGGGCUUAAAGGGCGCGUAGGCGGUUCGCUAAGUCGGAUGUGAAAACUCUGGGCUCAACCCAGAGCCUGCAUCCGAAACUGGCGGGCUAGAGUUCUGGAGGGGGUAGCGGAAUUCCUGGUGUAGCGGUGAAAUGCGUAGAUAUCAGGAGGAACACCAAUGGCGAAGGCAGCACUCUGGGACGUGACUGACGCUGAGACGCGAAAGCGUGGGGAGCAAACAGG